UUGCUUCAGCAGCACAUAUACUAAAAUUACAACAAUACAGAGAAGAAUAACAUGGCCCUGCAAAAAUAUGACAACCAAAUUUAUGAAGCAUUUAAUGACCUA
Suncus etruscus (white-toothed pygmy shrew) is the source of this 102-nucleotide small nuclear RNA. Lineage: Eukaryota; Metazoa; Chordata; Mammalia; Eulipotyphla; Soricidae. The record is from RefSeq and is a predicted model, not a curated record.